UGGGGAAUUUUGGACAAUGGGCGCAAGCCUGAUCCAGCCAUGCCGCGUGAGUGAAGAAGGCCUUCGGGUUGUAAAGCUCUUUCGGCGGGAACGAAAUAGCGCGGGCGAAUAUCCCGCGUCGAUGACGGUACCCGAAGAAGAAGGACCGGCUAACUACGUGCCAGCAGCCGCGGUAAUACGUAGGGUCCAAGCGUUAAUCGGAAUUACUGGGCGUAAAGCGUGCGUAGGUGGUUUGUUAAGUCAGGUGUGAAAUCCUCGGGCUCAACCCGGGAACUGCGCUUGAUACUGGCAGACUCGAGUGUGGUAGAGGAUAGUGGAAUUCCCGGUGUAGCGGUGAAAUGCGUAGAUAUCGGGAGGAACAUCAGUGGCGAAGGCGGCUAUCUGGACCAACACUGACACUGAGGUACGAAAGCGUGGGUAGCAAACAGGAUUAGAUACCCUGGUAGUCCACGCCCUAAACGAUGGGUACUAGACGUCGGGAAGCUUGUCUUCUUGGUGUCGCAGCUAACGCAAUAAGUACCCCGCCUGGGGAGUACGGUCGCAAGAUUA
This 549-nucleotide ribosomal RNA is filed under the name uncultured bacterium. Its description in RNAcentral is "bacterial SSU rRNA". It matches the Rfam family "Bacterial small subunit ribosomal RNA", at positions 355 to 896 of the family's 1533-position model. The record is from RNAcentral.